RNAcentral lists this long non-coding RNA (1049 nucleotides) under Anser brachyrhynchus (Pink-footed goose). RNAcentral's name for it is "lncRNA (ENSABRG00000021101.1)". The record is from RNAcentral. Lineage: Eukaryota; Metazoa; Chordata; Aves; Anseriformes; Anatidae.
CUGAGAUUAACCCUUCUGCAUGAGACAGCAGCUAUCCUGGACGGUAGCAAGGAGGAAAUUAGCGACUACUGCAGUGAUUAUUAGAUGACUAAUAACAGGUGCAAAAACAGGUGAAAAUGAGCAGUUUUGGAGCAGCAGUGCUAGUUUGUGCAUCCCACCAGGGAGAGGGGCAUAGAGACCAGAGGACAGCUCUCCCACUGCCCAGGGAUGCACCGGGAAGCUUCCCUAGUCGGAUGCAGCUCUGGAGAGAGACACGUCUCAUCUUAGCAAAUGAGAAAAAGGCAAAAUAAGAAAUCAACGUUUGCCAGAAUAAAAAUAAAUAAAUAAAAAAUAGCCAGAGGAGAGUCAUUUGGGGGCUGAUUUCCAGUACCACGCCUGGGACUGCCUGAUACCACCCGGCUCCGCUGCAGCUCACGGCCGCAUCCUCGCUCAGAGCACUCAUGCCAGGGUUUGGUGCAAGUCCCAGCCACGGGGCUGUAACGAGAUAAUUAUUCAGCACUGGAAUUGCAUCCAGUUGGCACUGAGUUCUGGGUACCUGACAGGCCCGGAAUAAAUGGGGUUUUUCAUCUGGAAGGCUUGAGGUCAGUGCGACUGCCUCGCAAGGGACGGAGGAGUCGCUGCUGCCUUUCGCCAGCUGUGGCCACGACACCGUGCAGAGGCGUUUGCCGCUGGAGGAGACAAAAACGGGUGCAGGGAAAGGAGCCACGAUCCUCGGGGCCAGAGACGCACAGGAGCCCUGGAGCAGGAGCAUCGGCUCACGCUCAGCCACGGCUGCAGCCGCUCACUCCUCCGCACAAGCCGACGGAGAGGCUCUCGCAGCUGCCAGGCUCCCCCACCUCUCAGCCAGCCUCCGAGAGCGCGGGUUGUUCAGCCUUGGCUGUCAGCUUGCAGCUGGGAUGGAGCUCCUCGGCCAGAAAUCGAGCUUUCUCUUUUAAUAAGUCCCUUAGGAGCGUUCAUGCCCCGUCCCUCCAGUCCUUGCUAUUCAGAGGGAACUGGCAGGACUGGACAGCUCAGCUUUUGCGAAGAUAUACAAGUCCUGCAGAAAAAAA